UACGUAGGCAGCAAGCGUUGUUUGGAGUUACUGGGCGUAAAGGGUGCGUAGGCGGCUUCUUGAGUCUGGUGUGAAAUCUCCCGGCUCAACUGGGAGGGUGCGCCGGAUACUGAGGGGCUAGAGUGUGGGAGAGGAAAGUGGAAUUCCUGGUGUAGCGGUGAAAUGCGUAGAUAUUAGGAGGAACACCAAUAGCGAAGGCAGCUCGCUGGGACGGUACUGACGCUAAGGCGCGAAAGCGUGGGGGGCGAACAGG
This 253-nucleotide ribosomal RNA is filed under the name uncultured bacterium. RNAcentral describes it as "partial 16S ribosomal RNA". It matches the Rfam family "Bacterial small subunit ribosomal RNA", at positions 524 to 776 of the family's 1533-position model. The record is from RNAcentral.